Non-coding RNA from Peromyscus maniculatus bairdii (prairie deer mouse), 315 nucleotides. NCBI's taxonomy places the organism in Eukaryota, Metazoa, Chordata, Mammalia, Rodentia, Cricetidae. The record is from RefSeq and is a predicted model, not a curated record.
UGGACUGGUGGUCCUGGGUUCUAUAUGAAAGCAGGCUGAGCAAGUCAGUAAGCAGCGCCCCUACAUGGCCUCAGCAUCAGCUCCUGCCUCCAGGUUCCAGCCCUACAUGAGUUUCUAUCCUGACUUUCUUCAGGAAUGGACUAUGAUGUGGAAGUCUAUGCCAAAUAAACCAUUUCCUUCUCAACUUGCUUUUGUCAUAGUCAUAGUGUUUCAUCACAUCAAUGAUAACCCAAACUAAGGCAGAAGUUGGUACUAGGAUAGUGGAGUACCGCUGUGACAGACUUGAUCAUGUUAUUUGGGGGAGGACUGUGGUAG